GUGAAGAUGUGGAACAAGACUUCUGGGAAGGUCACUUAGAAAGGCAUGCCAGAUCCCUGUGGAAAUCCAUGCCUUCUGGGGCAGCCUAUUUCUAUUCCAAGACAGAAUCCCUCUUCACAUGUCUCUUCCAAAAAGCAGACCAUUUGUCUGGCAGAAAGUAAGGACGCUGUAAAGUUAAAUUGUUUAUACCAGAGGAAUGAAACACACCAAUUAUGGAGAAGGCACGUAAAUGAAAAGGGAGAGCUGGAUAUGGGGGCACACAUCUAUAAUUCCAGCAUUUGGAGAGCUGAAGCAGGAGGAUUGCAAGUUGAAGGCCAGCCUUGUCUACAUAAUGAAACUACCCACGCCACCACUCCCC
Meriones unguiculatus (Mongolian gerbil) is the source of this 358-nucleotide long non-coding RNA. RefSeq lists it as uncharacterized. NCBI's taxonomy places the organism in Eukaryota, Metazoa, Chordata, Mammalia, Rodentia, Muridae. The record is from RefSeq and is a predicted model, not a curated record. The transcript is spliced from 3 exons.